UCCAUGAUAGCUCAGUUGGUAGAGCAAUCGGCUGUUAACCGAUCGGUCGUAGGUUCGAGUCCUACUCAUGGAG
Schwartzia succinivorans DSM 10502 is the source of this 73-nucleotide non-coding RNA. The record is from Rfam. NCBI's taxonomy places the organism in Bacteria, Bacillati, Bacillota, Negativicutes, Selenomonadales, Selenomonadaceae.